CGCGGGGUAGAGCAGUUGGUAGUUCGCCAGGCCCAUAACCUGGAAGUCACCGGUUCAAGUCCGGUCCCCGCUA
RNAcentral lists this transfer RNA (73 nucleotides) under Methanobrevibacter sp. RNAcentral describes it as "tRNA-Met". It matches the Rfam family "tRNA". Rfam says of the family: Transfer RNA (tRNA) molecules are approximately 80 nucleotides in length. Their secondary structure includes four short double-helical elements and three loops (D, anti-codon, and T loops). Lineage: Archaea; Methanobacteriati; Methanobacteriota; Methanobacteria; Methanobacteriales; Methanobacteriaceae. The record is from RNAcentral.